UAUAGAUGGAUCCGCGCUGCAUUAGCUAGUUGGUAAGGUAACGGCUUACCAAGGCAACGAUGCAUAGCCGACCUGAGAGGGUGAUCGGCCACACUGGAACUGAGACACGGUCCAGACUCCUACGGGAGGCAGCAGUAGGGAAUCUUCCGCAAUGGGCGAAAGCCUGACGGAGCAACGCCGCGUGAGUGAUGAAGGUCUUCGGAUCGUAAAACUCUGUUAUUAGGGAAGAACAUAUGUGUAAGUAACUGUGCACAUCUUGACGGUACCUAAUCAGAAAGCCACGGCUAACUACGUGCCAGCAGCCGCGGUAAUACGUAGGUGGCAAGCGUUAUCCGGAAUUAUUGGGCGUAAAGCGCGCGUAGGCGGUUUUUUAAGUCUGAUGUGAAAGCCCACGGCUCAACCGUGGAGGGUCAUUGGAAACUGGAAAACUUGAGUGCAGAAGAGGAAAGUGGAAUUCCAUGUGUAGCGGUGAAAUGCGCAGAGAUAUGGAGGAACACCAGUGGCGAAGGCGACUUUCUGGUCUGUAACUGACGCUGAUGUGCGAAAGCGUGGGGAUCAAACAGGAUUAGAUACCCUGGUAGUCCACGCCGUAAACGAUGAGUGCUAAGUGUUAGG
This 615-nucleotide ribosomal RNA is filed under the name Staphylococcus aureus. RNAcentral describes it as "bacterial SSU rRNA". It matches the Rfam family "Bacterial small subunit ribosomal RNA", at positions 220 to 827 of the family's 1533-position model. Lineage: Bacteria; Bacillati; Bacillota; Bacilli; Caryophanales; Staphylococcaceae. The record is from RNAcentral.